CCUACGGGUGGCUGCAGUGGGGAAUAUUGCACAAUGGGCGCAAGCCUGAUGCAGCCAUGCCGCGUGUGUGAAGAAGGCCUUCGGGUUGUAAAGCACUUUCAGCGGGGAGGAAGGCGGUGAGGUUAAUAACCUCAUCGAUUGACGUUACCCGCAGAAGAAGCACCGGCUAACUCCGUGCCAGCAGCCGCGGUAAUACGGAGGGUGCAAGCGUUAAUCGGAAUUACUGGGCGUAAAGCGCACGCAGGCGGUCUGUCAAGUCGGAUGUGAAAUCCCCGGGCUCAACCUGGGAACUGCAUUCGAAACUGGCAGGCUACAGUCUUGUAGAGGGGGGUAGAAUUCCAGGUGUAGCGGUGAAAUGCGUAGAGAUCUGGAGGAAUACCGGUGGCGAAGGCGGCCCCCUGGACAAAGACUGACGCUCAGGUGCGAAAGCGUGGGGAGCAAACAGGAUUAGAUACCCGGGUAGUC
RNAcentral lists this ribosomal RNA (465 nucleotides) under uncultured Klebsiella sp. Its description in RNAcentral is "bacterial SSU rRNA". It matches the Rfam family "Bacterial small subunit ribosomal RNA", at positions 338 to 795 of the family's 1533-position model. The record is from RNAcentral. Lineage: Bacteria; Pseudomonadati; Pseudomonadota; Gammaproteobacteria; Enterobacterales; Enterobacteriaceae.